This 301-nucleotide ribosomal RNA is filed under the name uncultured bacterium. RNAcentral's name for it is "partial 16S ribosomal RNA". It matches the Rfam family "Bacterial small subunit ribosomal RNA", at positions 509 to 807 of the family's 1533-position model. The record is from RNAcentral.
CAGCCGCCACGGGAAUACGAAGGGGGCUAGCGUUGUUCGGAAUUACUGGGCGUAAAGCGCACGUAGGCGGAUAUUUAAGUCAGGGGUGAAAUCCCGCAGCUCAACUGCGGAACUGCCUUUGAUACUGGGUAUCUUGAGUAUGGAAGAGGUUAGUGGAAUUGCGAGUGUAGAGGUGAAAUUCGUAGAUAUUCGCAGGAACACCAGUGGCGAAGGCGGCUAACUGGUCCAUAACUGACGCUGAGGUGCGAAAGCGUGGGGAGCAAACAGGAUUAGAGACCCCUGUAGUCCCUGUCUCUUAUAC